RNAcentral lists this ribosomal RNA (1401 nucleotides) under Lactiplantibacillus plantarum. Its description in RNAcentral is "bacterial SSU rRNA". It matches the Rfam family "Bacterial small subunit ribosomal RNA", at positions 70 to 1438 of the family's 1533-position model. The record is from RNAcentral. Lineage: Bacteria; Bacillati; Bacillota; Bacilli; Lactobacillales; Lactobacillaceae.
CUCUGGUAUUGAUUGGUGCUUGCAUCAUGAUUUACAUUUGAGUGAGUGGCGAACUGGUGAGUAACACGUGGGAAACCUGCCCAGAAGCGGGGGAUAACACCUGGAAACAGAUGCUAAUACCGCAUAACAACUUGGACCGCAUGGUCCGAGUUUGAAAGAUGGCUUCGGCUAUCACUUUUGGAUGGUCCCGCGGCGUAUUAGCUAGAUGGUGGGGUAACGGCUCACCAUGGCAAUGAUACGUAGCCGACCUGAGAGGGUAAUCGGCCACAUUGGGACUGAGACACGGCCCAAACUCCUACGGGAGGCAGCAGUAGGGAAUCUUCCACAAUGGACGAAAGUCUGAUGGAGCAACGCCGCGUGAGUGAAGAAGGGUUUCGGCUCGUAAAACUCUGUUGUUAAAGAAGAACAUAUCUGAGAGUAACUGUUCAGGUAUUGACGGUAUUUAACCAGAAAGCCACGGCUAACUACGUGCCAGCAGCCGCGGUAAUACGUAGGUGGCAAGCGUUGUCCGGAUUUAUUGGGCGUAAAGCGAGCGCAGGCGGUUUUUUAAGUCUGAUGUGAAAGCCUUCGGCUCAACCGAAGAAGUGCAUCGGAAACUGGGAAACUUGAGUGCAGAAGAGGACAGUGGAACUCCAUGUGUAGCGGUGAAAUGCGUAGAUAUAUGGAAGAACACCAGUGGCGAAGGCGGCUGUCUGGUCUGUAACUGACGCUGAGGCUCGAAAGUAUGGGUAGCAAACAGGAUUAGAUACCCUGGUAGUCCAUACCGUAAACGAUGAAUGCUAAGUGUUGGAGGGUUUCCGCCCUUCAGUGCUGCAGCUAACGCAUUAAGCAUUCCGCCUGGGGAGUACGGCCGCAAGGCUGAAACUCAAAGGAAUUGACGGGGGCCCGCACAAGCGGUGGAGCAUGUGGUUUAAUUCGAAGCUACGCGAAGAACCUUACCAGGUCUUGACAUACUAUGCAAAUCUAAGAGAUUAGACGUUCCCUUCGGGGACAUGGAUACAGGUGGUGCAUGGUUGUCGUCAGCUCGUGUCGUGAGAUGUUGGGUUAAGUCCCGCAACGAGCGCAACCCUUAUUAUCAGUUGCCAGCAUUAAGUUGGGCACUCUGGUGAGACUGCCGGUGACAAACCGGAGGAAGGUGGGGAUGACGUCAAAUCAUCAUGCCCCUUAUGACCUGGGCUACACACGUGCUACAAUGGAUGGUACAACGAGUUGCGAACUCGCGAGAGUAAGCUAAUCUCUUAAAGCCAUUCUCAGUUCGGAUUGUAGGCUGCAACUCGCCUACAUGAAGUCGGAAUCGCUAGUAAUCGCGGAUCAGCAUGCCGCGGUGAAUACGUUCCCGGGCCUUGUACACACCGCCCGUCACACCAUGAGAGUUUGUAACACCCAAAGUCGGUGGGGUAA